UGGGGAAUUUUGGACAAUGGGCGCAAGCCUGAUCCAGCCAUACCGCGUGCGGGAAGAAGGCCUUCGGGUUGUAAACCGCUUUUGUCAGGGAAGAAAUCUUCUGGGCUAAUACCUCGGGAGGAUGACGGUACCUGAAGAAUAAGCACCGGCUAACUACGUGCCAGCAGCCGCGGUAAUACGUAGGGUGCAAGCGUUAAUCGGAAUUACUGGGCGUAAAGCGUGCGCAGGCGGUUCCAUAAGACAGAUGUGAAAUCCCCGGGCUCAACCUGGGAACUGCAUUUGUGACUGUGGGGCUAGAGUACGGUAGAGGGGGAUGGAAUUCCGCGUGUAGCAGUGAAAUGCGUAGAUAUGCGGAGGAACACCAAUGGCGAAGGCAAUCCCCUGGACCUGUACUGACGCUCAUGCACGAAAGCGUGGGGAGCAAACAG
This 428-nucleotide ribosomal RNA is filed under the name uncultured bacterium. RNAcentral describes it as "bacterial SSU rRNA". It matches the Rfam family "Bacterial small subunit ribosomal RNA", at positions 355 to 775 of the family's 1533-position model. The record is from RNAcentral.